AUGGAGGGUAAGAGGAUGCUCAUUAGCACUACCACUCUGAAGGUGAUCAUGUGCCUGCUCAUCCUGAGCCUCGCCGUCAACUCGACCACCGCAGAUUGCGGCUGCUGCAUAAGCUUCGCCGCAAAAGCAUGUUGUUCUAGUUGUAUUUUUGCGGGUGGCUCUGACUUUGCCUGCAAGAACACUUGUUGUUUCCCGUGUCUUCUUGAAGAUUCUGUGGUUGCUAAGAUGGAUGAAAUGGGAGUGGCUCCGAAGAUGGAAGGACUGUACUAA
RNAcentral lists this ribosomal RNA (270 nucleotides) under Triticum aestivum (bread wheat). RNAcentral's name for it is "partial small subunit ribosomal RNA". The record is from RNAcentral. Lineage: Eukaryota; Viridiplantae; Streptophyta; Magnoliopsida; Poales; Poaceae.